AGCGAACGUUAGCGGCGGGCCUAACACAUGCAAGUCGAACGAGAAAGCCUUCGGGUGAGUAAAGUGGCGCACGGGUGAGGAACGCGUAGGUAAUCUACCCUCAGGCGGGGGACAACACUCCGAAAGGAAUGCUAAUACCGCAUGAGACCACACUCACUACGGUGAGAGAGGUAAAAGGCGCCUCAAAGCGCCACCAGAGGAUGAGCCUGCGUCCCAUCAGCUUGUUGGUAAGGUAACGGCUUACCAAGGUGAAGACGGGUAGCUGGUCUGAGAGGAUGAUCAGCCACACUGGUACUGGAACACGGACCAGACUCCUACGGGAGCAGCAGUGAGGAAUAUUGGGCAAUGGGCGCAAGCCUGACCCAGCCACGCCGCGUGUGUGAUGAAGGCCUUCGGGUCGUAAAGCACUGGUGGGAGAGACGAACAAGCGCAGUAGGAAAUGACUGCGCCCUGA
Molecule: ribosomal RNA, 454 nt
Filed under: uncultured bacterium
Lineage: Bacteria
Description: bacterial SSU rRNA
Rfam family: Bacterial small subunit ribosomal RNA
Source: RNAcentral